RNAcentral lists this ribosomal RNA (429 nucleotides) under Bacteroidota bacterium. Its description in RNAcentral is "Bacteroidetes bacterium partial 16S ribosomal RNA". It matches the Rfam family "Bacterial small subunit ribosomal RNA", at positions 355 to 776 of the family's 1533-position model. The record is from RNAcentral. Lineage: Bacteria; Pseudomonadati; Bacteroidota.
UAGGGAAUCUUCCGCAAUGGACGCAAGUCUGACGGAGCAACGCCGCGUGAGUGAAGAAGGAUUUCGGUUCGUAAAACUCUGUUGUUAGAGAAGAACAGCGCAUAGAGUAACUGUUAUGCGUGUGACGGUAUCUAACCAGAAAGCCACGGCUAACUACGUGCCAGCAGCCGCGGUAAUACGUAGGUGGCAAGCGUUGUCCGGAUUUAUUGGGCGUAAAGCGAGCGCAGGCGGUCAAUUAAGUCUGAUGUGAAAGCCCCCGGCUCAACCGGGGAGGGUCAUUGGAAACUGGUUGACUUGAGUGCAGAAGAGGAGAGUGGAAUUCCAUGUGUAGCAGUAAAAUGCGUAGAUAUAUGGAGGAACACCAGUGGCAAAGGCGACUCUCUGGUCUGUAACUGACGCUGAGGCUCGAAAGCGUGGGUAGCAAACAGG